AACAGGAUUAGAUACCCUGGUAGUCCACGCCGUAAACGAUGUCGACUUGGAGGUUGUGCCCUUGAGGCGUGGCUUCCGGAGCUAACGCGUUAAGUCGACCGCCUGGGGAGUACGGCCGCAAGGUUAAAACUCAAAUGAAUUGACGGGGGCCCGCACAAGCGGUGGAGCAUGUGGUUUAAUUCGAUGCAACGCGAAGAACCUUACCUACUCUUGACAUCCAGAGAACUUAGCAGAGAUGCUUUGGUGCCUUCGGGAACUCUGAGACAGGUGCUGCAUGGCUGUCGUCAGCUCGUGUUGUGAAAUGUUGGGUUAAGUCCCGCAACGAGCGCAACCCUUAUCCUUUGUUGCCAGCGGUCCGGCCGGGAACUCAAAGGAGACUGCCAGUGAUAAACUGGAGGAAGGUGGGGAUGACGUCAAGUCAUCAUGGCCCUUACGAGUAGGGCUACACGCGUGCUACAAUGGCGCAUAUAAAGAGAAGCGACCUCGCGAGAGCAAGCGGACCUCAUAAAGUGCGUCGUAGUCCGGAUUGGAGUCUGCAACUCGACUCCAUGAAGUCGGGAUCGCUAGUAAUCGUGGAUCAGAAUGCCACGGUGAAUACGUUCCCGGGCCUUGUACACACCGCCCGUCACACCAUGGGAGUGGGUUGCAAAAGAAGUAGGUAGCUUAACCUUCGGGAGGGCGCUUACCACUUUGUGAUUCAUGACUGGGGUGAAGUCGUAACAAGGUAACC
Molecule: ribosomal RNA, 730 nt
Filed under: uncultured bacterium
Lineage: Bacteria
Description: bacterial SSU rRNA
Rfam family: Bacterial small subunit ribosomal RNA
Source: RNAcentral